This 497-nucleotide ribosomal RNA is filed under the name uncultured bacterium. RNAcentral's name for it is "partial 16S ribosomal RNA". It matches the Rfam family "Bacterial small subunit ribosomal RNA", at positions 28 to 507 of the family's 1533-position model. The record is from RNAcentral.
GAUGAACGCUGGCGGCGUGCCUAAUACAUGCAAGUCGAGCGAACAGACGAGGAGCUUGCUCCUCUGACGUUAGCGGCGGACGGGUGAGUAACACGUGGAUAACCUACCUAUAAGACUGGGAUAACUUUGGGAAACCGGAGCUAAUACCGGAUAAUAUAUUGAACCGCAUGGUUCAAUAGUGAAAGACGGUUUUGCUGUCACUUAUAGAUGGAUCCGCGCCGCAUUAGCUAGUUGGGAAGGUAACGGCUUACCAAGGCGACGAUGCGUAGCCGACCUGAGAGGGUGAUCGGCCACACUAGAACUGAGACACGGUCCAGACUCCUACGGGAGGCAGCAGUAGGGAAUCUUCCGCAAAGGGCGAAAGCCUGACGGAGCAACGCCGCGUGAGUGAUGAAGGUCUUCGGAUCGUAAAACUCUGUUAUUAGGGAAGAACAAAUGUGUAAGUAACUAUGCACGUCUUGACGGUACCUAAUCAGAAAGCCACGGCUAACUACGUG